AGGAGACUAUUGGUAGCGGUGGAUUUCCUAUACACGUUAGUGAUGAUCUGACCGGAAUCACCAAUAGCAAUUGAUAGAUCCAGAAAGGACAUUUGUGUAUCAUUAAUCUCUGAGGUGUCAAAAUCUUUUCUAAAAAGAUGGAAAGGGGGACCAGUAUGGACUCAGUUGAGGCUACAAUCGGGCGACCUGGUGGAUUAUUGAGGUUCUUGUGUAUCUUAGAUCACAUAGAAUGGCUUUAACCCUGGUGCCACUGUAGACUCUCAUUUGCUUUGGUACAGCAUUAUCCACGUCCUUUUUAUCACAAGACUAGAUCGGUGUUACUGCGGAUCUCAGCCCUCAUGUGACUACAUGUUUUAUUUGAAAUUGAUUUCUGCCAUGUUACAUUUACUUCAUUGUUGUAUGUACAUAAUACCUAUUGUAUUGAAUAGAAAUACAUUGAUUUCCGCGUACCAUACUACGGAUCUAAAUAAUAUUUCUCGUUUCAUACUGAGCUGUAUAACACCAUGUUUGUCAUGAUGUG
This is a long non-coding RNA of Bufo bufo (common toad), 520 nucleotides long. RefSeq lists it as uncharacterized. The record is from RefSeq and is a predicted model, not a curated record. NCBI's taxonomy places the organism in Eukaryota, Metazoa, Chordata, Amphibia, Anura, Bufonidae. The transcript is spliced from 4 exons.